GAGCUUGAUAGCAGCUUUGGGUUAACUUGCCUCUUCUGGCCUCCUCCGCACCUUAACUAUCAGUUGUCGCCUGAGCUCAGUGCCAGCGGAAUCAGGUUGUAUAACUUUUAAAAACCUUUUUAGCGCCGCCCGCGACUGAACACGCCUGAACAGGCACUUUGAGUUCCACACUGAAAUGCUGCCACGUUUUCGCUAAAGCGUGAGGCACUGAAGGUUUAGGGGGGGGGUGGCCAACCUUUAAGACUCCUUAAAUGUAAUUGUACAAACAAUUGGACCGUGUACAGACAAAAAACACACCCGCGUAAAGUCACAACGUGCACAAAACACUGUACUAAGAUAUGUCCUAUUUAUUGUGUUGUAUUUAUUUGCUGAUACAGGUAACAUUAUGUUUCUGUCUGCUGCUUAAACGGUUUACGUUGUUGCUGUGCAGGAUCACAGGCUGACGGAUCAAGUUAGAGGUCACAGAAAAUCCCAAGGAUUAGCUCCUCAUAUUCUCCCCAUUCUUUUUUUUCUCCCCCCCAGCCAUUUUUGCCAGUAAUAUGAUAGAAAGGGUCUGUCUCUAUGCCUGAUGCCUGAUAACAUGAGACAUUAGAAACCUGUUAUUUAUAUGUCCAUCUGUUCAAUGAACAUGGUUUUGUUAUAUUUGCCUGUCUAUUUGCACGUUGACUCUAGAUGUUGAUGCUUUAUAAACGUCAGUCAUUACUGCCACAGAUUAUAAUUAUUAUUAUUUAUGCUUAUUUAUUUAAAUGCAAUGCUUUUGCUCUGUGGCCGGAUUUGUGGUUUGAAAGUAGUACUUUUUUUCACCGGAGUAAAGUUUAGACACUUUGUGUUUUCUUAAAGCAGAGUUGUACUUUCCUACCAAACAGAAAUGAACCCUCGACUUUCACCAGUUUCUACGUGAAUGUACACGAUUUUAAAUACGUUGCUUCGUGCUCGGGGCGAGCGGUUGAAGUGAGACUCGUUCCUAAUGACGUUUGCCCGCCGACUAGUCGCCGAUCCCUCCAGACACACCAAAGGUUUUGCCAAAUCAGCAGCGUCUGAGGUGCAGCACACCUCAUGCUUCCUACAUGACUCACACUCCCCACCUCUCUUUUCCUCCACACUGAGUCACAUACUACCAGUCUCACUACGACGGUCGCAAUGCAACGUAUGAUUGGACCUUGAACGAGUCUGAUGCAAAUUCAUGGAAGCAGACAUCACUAUCAAAUAAACUGCACUGCUCAUCGUUCUCAAAAGGGCUCUGGAUUCAAGUAAAUUACAACUCUGAAACGUAUUUAAAGUCCAUAUAAAUAAUGUAAAUACAUGUAGAUCAUAUACACACACAGUGCAAACCAUAUAGCCAGGUUCAUUUUUUGAUACGUACACUACAUGUUAAGGGAAUAGAAUAUAGCAUAAGGAAAAAAGGGACUAUGGUUCGCUACGUAGAAGCUGCCGAGUGAGAAGCCGAUGUUAAUAUCGAGGAUGUUUGCUCACCUGUGUCUGAGGAUAAAAAAAGAAAUACUGAAAUUGGUUUCAGUGGCAAUGUAAAGUUGUUCGACCCUCCGUGACCCUAACUAAAGAAUGCGCUUGAUCAUUUCAAUGUAACCACAUACACUUCUCACUAACGAAAGUAGGUUGAUUUUUGAAUCUUAAACAGGUGGCGGAUACCCUGUUUAUAAAGGACUAUCUGUAUUGUUAUAUACUGAUUAUUAUGAUUACCGUUCCUCUGUGGAUCUUAACCAUGACACAGGUCGAUGUGUACAGAUAUGGAGACAAGCCCUUUCCUCUGACACCAAAGGAGCUUUGUGGAGGGUCUGUCUGUUUUCACGUCUGCAACCACACGGCGCCGUCAGUGUGUCUCCAUCUAGUGGAAGCUGACGUGCAGCGAUGCGUCGCCCAAGCAUCACACGAGACGAACUCCUGACUCCGCAGUCUCUCUCCCCGGGUCGUUCAUUCAUACCCUCCCUUCCCCACAAAAAAAAAAAAAACAUUCUCAAGCGGGAACCAUCUCAUGCAUGAAAUCUGCAUGUGGUCAGAUCUGCUUUCUCCCGACGGGGGAGCGGACUGCGUCCCCCAGAGAGUGCCUCAUCAGCCAGCCAGUGCUUGCAAAAUGAAUGUGAAGACGCACACUUUGUUCCUGUGGUGCGGUUCACACAUCUGUCCUGUGUAGCAGACAGGCUCCUCGGUCUCCAGCAACGUCUGUGCAAUAAACUGAAGUCUAUAUUUCUAAAUCUCUUUCGUCAUUGUUCCAGUUGUUGGGAUGUGUUUUUGUAUGUGUGUUUGCAAAGAACAAUUUAAGGGCUAUGAAGUGAAGAGUUUAUGGCUUCACAAACCAACAAUGUGUUUGUAUAUUUGAAAACUCGUUAGGUUUACUGUAACGCUGCCAAAAGGCCACCACGUUAACGUGACUGUAGACUGAGGGAAUCAUGUCAACACACACAAGCACACUUAAUUAGAAUUAAAUGACCUCACUGUAACAAAAAGAUGAGAAAUUACUUGACCUCACCUCCUCAAGCUCAAAUAUUAGAGUUUUUUACUGUCAUGAGGUCACAGCUCGGGUUGAGCAGUGCAACGGG
Gasterosteus aculeatus aculeatus (three-spined stickleback) is the source of this 2555-nucleotide long non-coding RNA. The record is from Ensembl. NCBI's taxonomy places the organism in Eukaryota, Metazoa, Chordata, Actinopteri, Perciformes, Gasterosteidae.